UACAGAGGUCUCAAGCGUUGUUCGGAUUCAUUGGGCGUAAAGGGUGUGUAGGUGGCACCGUAAGUCGGGUGUGAAAUUUCGGAGCUUAACUCCGAAACUGCAUUCGAUACUGCGGUGCUUGAGGACUGGAGAGGAGACUGGAAUUCAUGGUGUAGCAGUGAAAUGCGUAGAGAUCAUGAGGAAGACCAGUGGCGAAGGCGGGUCUCUGGGCCGAUACUGACGCUGAGGAGCGAAAGCGUGGGGAGCGAACAGG
RNAcentral lists this ribosomal RNA (253 nucleotides) under uncultured bacterium. RNAcentral's name for it is "partial 16S ribosomal RNA". It matches the Rfam family "Bacterial small subunit ribosomal RNA", at positions 524 to 776 of the family's 1533-position model. The record is from RNAcentral.